GACGAACGCUGGCGGCGUGCUUAACACAUGCAAGUCGAACGGUAAAGCUCCAGCUUGCUGGAGUGGAUCAGUGGCGAACGGGUGAGUAACACGUGAGCAACCUGCCCCUGACUCUGGAAUAAGCGCUGGAAACGGCGUCUAAUACUGGAUACGAGAAGGGUCCGCAUGGGCACUUUCUGGAAAGUUUUUCGGUUGGGGAUGGGCUCGCGGCCUAUCAGCUUGUUGGUGAGGUAAUGGCUCACCAAGGCGACGACGGGUAGCCGGCCUGAGAGGGCGACCGGCCACACUGGGACUGAGACACGGCCCAGACUCCUACGGGAGGCAGCAGUGGGGAAUAUUGCACAAUGGGCGAAAGCCUGAUGCAGCGACGCCGCGUGAGGGAUGACGGCCUUCGGGUUGUAAACCUCUUUCAGCAGGGAAGAAGCGAAAGUGACGGUACCUGCAGAAGAAGCACCGGCUAACUACGUG
RNAcentral lists this ribosomal RNA (468 nucleotides) under uncultured bacterium. RNAcentral describes it as "partial 16S ribosomal RNA". It matches the Rfam family "Bacterial small subunit ribosomal RNA", at positions 28 to 507 of the family's 1533-position model. The record is from RNAcentral.